CUUUGUCAUUUUCCGCACUUCCUUUCUUGAAAAAUAUGAAAUUUAUAGCUACUUUGACUUAUUUUUUUCUAAAAGCUUUUUUGAGAAUAUUUCAAUUGAUGUUGAAUGCUCUUUUCAAUGGGUGCAGGGUGUGAUGAAGUAUCAAGGUCUUAUUUGGAUUUUUUUUUGAAGAAAUUUACUGCGGAAGUUGAAUCAAAUGACAAGGUUGUUUUGAAUAAUUGUAAGGUAAGUAUGAUGUGAAAUGAAGUUUGACUUGCUCUAUUGGUUUAUUGUCUUAUUUAUUGUAGGUUGUGGUCACUGUCUUUAUUGGUUGUGACACAUGUUUUGUUCUUAAGAAUAAAUUGAUAUAGGUACAAAGGCAUGCAUUUUACAGUGGUCUGAUCAAUCAUUAAAGAGUACAAAGAUGGUUAUGCUGAUUUUGAGAAUUUUUUAUCGCCUCAAUUUGUUGGAUUUACAAGUAACCCAAUGUGUCGUCUAUUUUUAAGCUGUUUUGAUAAAAAGAAAGGAUUAUAUCUAAAGAUGCACUUAACUCCUAAUUCUUACAAAGUCUAAUAAAGAACCUUUGGUAUGAUAAUUUAUCUCUUGAUUCAUAUUUUUAGUAUGGUUAUUGCAGUUAGUAAAAAUUGCAAGGCUUCUAAAGGCAAACACAUCUUGUAUUUGUGUCAUAUUUUCACACUUUGUCCCAACUUCUCAGUUCAUCUUUCUCUUUAUCUCUUCCCCUCCCUCUUAUUGUUGUCCCUGUCUCUCCAUACAGAACAAAUAAAUGUAACUAAGAAUUCUAUAACUACUGGUGAUAGAAGAAGUACAAUCUCUUAAGAAUAUAUAUAUUUGAUCAAUUUUAAUUGGUAAGUCCUCUUUGUAUAGGAGUCGUAGUUAGUAUUAACAACCUGCAUUUUUUUAUGUAUAAGGGAAGAAAUAGGUUACUCUUCUCGACAUAUUUGAUUGCCGGAGCAGACGGCAGAUAUAUUGUUGAGUGUUAAAGUAUAUUACCCUUUUGAUUUGAUUUAUGUUGGUAUAAAAAUAUUUCCUAGGUCAUAUAUAUUGUACUUAGCAACCUUGACGCUAUGGAGAUUUCAUUGUUUUUCUCUGCUACUACUACCAAUUUUUCUAUGCAUCUGCACAUGGGAUAGUCAUCUUGCACUCUCCAUUUGAUAUAGUUCAUUUUCUUUAGUACCACAACACCAUCAAAUCUUCUGUCAAGGAAAAGAAUGUCGCUAAGAAAUUAUAUAAGGCAUUUCACACUCGCUUUUCGCAAGGAAGAGAAUACCUGGAGAGGAAGGGAAUCAUCAUAGGUUGUAUUUUAAGUAAAGAUUUGAAUGCCAAUGAAUUGAGCAAUAUAUAAAAAUAUCAACCUACGAGCUAAUGCAACCUAAUAAAAAAAAUACUAUUGAGCAACUAUAGAGUUUUAGGUUAGGUAGUAUACAUUGAACAUCUAUCUUUUCAAUUUUCUCAUCCCGUUAAAUUACAAUCUUUAUCUGUUAUACAUCAAUAAUGAGAUGUUUGAUUGUUAUGUUCGAUAUUCAAACGGUCAUGUGAGAUUCGUUUUUUAUUACUGCAUAAGUUCAACUGUUCCUACUUGAUUUUUCAAAAUUCUCGAGUAUUUGGUGUAAUAUGAGAUUCAUAUGAAAGGUAUUUUCUUCUAUUGUAUGAAAGAAACUCAUAUGAGAAUCUUUUGAGUACUUAAAGUAAUAUGAAAUUCAUCUUAAAGAUGUGCUUUGUGAUAUCAUGUAUUCGUAUCCAAGAUUUGAUGCUUCAUCUGCUUCUUUAGUUUAGUAAGAAUUAUUUCAUGCUAUUGCAUGAAACAUUUGACUGGUCUCCUACUGCUCUACGCUAGCUCGAAAGGUAUGGCUACUCUCUUCUUUCCUGCUGAACAUCAUCAAGAAUUUCCCCCUUCUUCUGCUUCACCCGGAAGAUUCUCAAUACAGGCUUAACAACCAUCCCUGCUUACAUUUUAAGAAAAGUUUAAUAGUGACCGUCAAGCUUCACUAAUAGAUAUGGUUCUCCUAUAAGGAGCAUGCUUGCCCUAUGUUUAUUGGUGUGCUAAGUCAUGUAACUUAAUGUUGAAACUUAGCGUACAAGAUAUAGCUUAAAUCUCAUAAAUUUAAUAGGCAGAGCAUAUUAGUCACUUGAUAUAAUUCAACGUUCCUGAAUCAAUUUUAUAUUUCUCAGUGAUUAUUUUUUAUACAGAUGACUUCAAGCUAACAUGAUUACUGAUUUCUCUCUAGGUUGAUGAUAAUCCUUCUUUGACAAAUGCUUCCAAGAUGUAGCAUCUAUUAUUGCGAGAGUUGGUCUUGGGGCUCACUGCAUUAGCAUAGGAAGUGUCCGACAUGUUUGAGCAAGCUGUUGGCAGAAAAUACACUGCGAGGAUAUUACUAACAUUGAAGAGUUCUCUCGCCAUUUUGGAGCUGUUGAUUUGAGGUAAAAAGAUGGACAGAAAAGGUGCUUAUGGCUGAAAUGAGAUAGGUUACUAUUAAAAAAAAUUACAGCCUACAAAUUUCUAUGUCUAUUAAUUAGUUUAGAAUUGUAUCUAUGUCUCAGGAUACCUGAUAAAGAGAGAACACUAACAGAGGCUUGAGCACUUACCAUCUGAUCUGAUCCUACUAAGCAAAAGUAAUCACUUGGAAUAUUUAGAACUGGCAAGAAGAAGACGCACUUCUUAUUCUCAUAUUUACGCGUGACAUUGUUACUCAACAAGAAAUACUUGAAAAUUGUAGUUAAUAGAUGGUGCUAUCAUAUUAGAAAGUAUUUGUUUUGUAAUCUAUAGCAAGAAAAUCAUCUGAGUUCAGUAAGUAAGGGGGAUUUGCCAAAGUGUCCUCUCUUUUAUGUAAGGCAUCAUUUUUCUUCCUGAUUUUACAGAUGAACUUACAAAAGGGAAGAGAUUUUCAGUUCUUGGUUUCCAUGGAGAACUUUUCCAUCAUAAUUUAAUUUUGACUAUGCCUAUUUAAGCUUCUUCUAGAAUUGCUAUGUUUUAUUUUCAAAUUGGAUUUUAACAUGCAUGAUUCCAAAAAAAAAUAAUGUGCAGGUACUGGUCACGUUUGUUAUGGCAUUUUGGUUGCUGAUCGUAAUGGUUGCAUGGCUACUAUGACCAACUUGAAGAGAAUUACCACAUGAACAUAUGUUGUUGAGAUUUGUGUAAUACACAAAGCAAAUGCUUUUGCUUUCUCACAUAUAUGCAAUAUUAUCAACUUCUUCAUUGCAAUGACAUUGUACCACCCACUCACUAAUGUGAGAAAAUGUCUCUUAUAUAUUAUCCUAUUUUUUGUGAAAAUGAUACUCCUUUCAUGU
RNAcentral lists this long non-coding RNA (3285 nucleotides) under Solanum tuberosum (potato). Its description in RNAcentral is "long non-coding RNA (STUB_LNC001303)". The record is from RNAcentral. Lineage: Eukaryota; Viridiplantae; Streptophyta; Magnoliopsida; Solanales; Solanaceae.